RNAcentral lists this ribosomal RNA (254 nucleotides) under uncultured bacterium. RNAcentral's name for it is "partial 16S ribosomal RNA". It matches the Rfam family "Bacterial small subunit ribosomal RNA", at positions 524 to 776 of the family's 1533-position model. The record is from RNAcentral.
UACGGAGGGUGCGAGCGUUGUCCGGAAUCACUGGGCGUAAAGGGCGCGUAGGUGGCGGUCCAAGUCAACGGUGAAAGCUCGGGGCUCAACCCCGAGUCGGCCGUCGAUGACUGGGUUGCUUGAGCACUGUAGAGGCAGAUGGAAUUCCGGGUGUAGCGGUGGAAUGCGCAGAUAUCAGGAGGAACACCGGUGGCGAAGGCGGGUCUCUGGGAAACAACUGACGCUGAGGAACGAAAGCGUGGGUAGCAAACAGG